GUUACCCCUCAAACAUGAUAUGUAAAUUAUAUGGUAGUGGAGUUGGAAUUAAAAAUAGGCAUAUUUACAUAUGAUGUGUCAGGAAGGUUCAGAAUGAAAUAUUGUAGUGUGAGAAAGGACUUUUCAUGCAAUUUGCCAGUGUCUGUCUUGGUAGUAGGGGUAAGCUUGAGAUUGAAAAUAAGUUUUGUCUGUGCGCCUGAUUAUUCAUUAUAAUGAUAUUAGAGUCACUGAGUUCCAUUGUGGUUAAGGGAAGGAUACUCUAUCCUGGGGGUGGGGGGUGGUUAGAGGGCUGGUUCCUGUAUAAACUUGAAGUAAAUAAAGGCCAAACUUGCCUGGUUUACACCAUGCUACAUUCACACAGAUGGGCAUGAUUCAUUAUAUGUACAUUAAUAUAGUACCACUAAUAAUAAAUUAAUAAAAACAGUGUUACAAAACAAUUAAAAUGAAAGGACAAGACAAUUAAGAGCCUAAACUUUUUGAGUAUAGAAAGUAAAUAGAAGCACAGUAAAUAUAGCCUGGAUGACUAAAGAAUAACAAAAAUUUUAAAAAUAUAAACUUCAAAUCUCAACAUUCCAAUGCAGAAGCAAGCAGGGUCCUAAAUGACAUAGAAACACUAACAUCAAGAGUAUUCCUUCCCAUUGCCUUCUGGGACUUGACACCCUUUGAAAGGGGGUGUAGGCAAUUAAUCUGAAGAAAGAGAUCAUUUGCUGGAACCCACGUGAGCUCAGAGUGGGUUAAUGUCCCUCAGGGUCAGGGCCGUUCCCUCACUAUCAGCCAUUUGCUUCUCUUUUCCGUGCCCUUUCCUCUCUUUGUGUCCCACCCAAGGUUUUACAUAUUUCUAUAUUAACCCCAUUCAUACUGUAAUAAAAAGGGAUCUACUAGUCUUUAAAAUAAUGUAAUGGAACCACAAUGACACAUGGCAAAAUUGUUAAGCUCAAGGAUUCUGUAGUUAAAUUUCAUAAUUUUCCCAGAUAGGACAAGAAAACAAGCUGGACAAGAAGGGCCUGUCUUGAUGUGUAGUUCUGCUAGAGUUGGGGAGA
Long non-coding RNA from Phyllostomus discolor (pale spear-nosed bat), 1040 nucleotides. RefSeq lists it as uncharacterized. The transcript is spliced from 2 exons. Lineage: Eukaryota; Metazoa; Chordata; Mammalia; Chiroptera; Phyllostomidae. The record is from RefSeq and is a predicted model, not a curated record.